Molecule: ribosomal RNA, 253 nt
Filed under: uncultured bacterium
Lineage: Bacteria
Description: partial 16S ribosomal RNA
Rfam family: Bacterial small subunit ribosomal RNA
Source: RNAcentral
UACGGGGGAUGCGAGCGUUGUCCGGAUUCACUGGGCGUAAAGGGCGCGUAGGCGGCCGUAUCAGUCGGAUUUAUAAGUGCGGGGCUCAACCUCGUGACGGGUUCGGGACGGUACGGCUGGGGCGCGGCAGAGGGAGACGGAAUGCCAGGUGUAGUGGUGAAAUGCGUAGAGAUCUGGCGGAACACCGGUGAUGAAGAUGGUCUCCUGGGCCGAGGGCCGACGCUGAGGCGCGAGAGCGUGGGGAGCGAACCGG